UACGUAGGUGACCAGCGUUGUCCGGAUUUACUGGGCGUAAAGAGCGCGCAGGCGGUCGUUCAAGUCGAGUGUGAAAGCCCCCGGCUCAACUGGGGAGGGUCACUCGAUACUGAUCGACUUGAAGGCAGGAGAGGGAAGCGGAAUUCCCGGUGUAGUGGUGAAAUGCGUAGAUAUCGGGAGGAACACCAGUGGCGAAGGCGGCUUCCUGGCCUGUUCUUGACGCUGAGGCGCGAAAGCCAGGGGAGCGAACGGG
Molecule: ribosomal RNA, 253 nt
Filed under: uncultured bacterium
Lineage: Bacteria
Description: partial 16S ribosomal RNA
Rfam family: Bacterial small subunit ribosomal RNA
Source: RNAcentral